AGUAGAAGAAGACAUAAGAGAAAAAAACCAGAGAGAUGACAGCAUGAGAAAGACUACACCAGCCCCUUCUAGUUUGAUGAUAACAAGAAAAAGCCACAUGCCAAGGAACGCAGACAGCCUUUAAAAGCUGGAAGAGAAAUUCUGGUGAAAAUAUGCAUUUUAAGAAGAAUAAGUAGAAAUAAAAUGAGAAAUCCACAGUGCUGA
RNAcentral lists this long non-coding RNA (204 nucleotides) under Homo sapiens (human). RNAcentral's name for it is "HSALNT0034458". The record is from RNAcentral. Lineage: Eukaryota; Metazoa; Chordata; Mammalia; Primates; Hominidae.